AGAGUUUGAUCCUGGCUCAGAGCGAACGCUGGCGCCAUGCUUAACACAUGCAAGUCGCACGGGCAGGGGUAACUCUGUCAGUGGCGGACGGGUGAGUAACGCGUAGGUAUCUAUCCUCGGGUGGGGGACAACCACGGGAAACUGUGGCUAAUACCGCAUGAUGACUGAGGUCCAAAGGCGCAAGUCGCCUGGGGAGGAGCCUGCGUCCGAUUAGCUUGUUGGUGGGGUAAAGGCCUACCAAGGCUCCGAUCGGUAGCUGGUCUGAGAGGAUGAUCAGCCCCACUGGGACUGAGACACGGCCCAGACUCCUACGGGAGGCAGCAGUGGGGAAUAUUGGACAAUGGGCGAAAGCCUGAUCCAGCAAUGCCGCGUGUGUGAAGAAGGUCUUCGGAUUGUAAA
RNAcentral lists this ribosomal RNA (399 nucleotides) under uncultured bacterium. RNAcentral describes it as "bacterial SSU rRNA". It matches the Rfam family "Bacterial small subunit ribosomal RNA", at positions 8 to 429 of the family's 1533-position model. The record is from RNAcentral.